AUCAUUGUUAAUUCUGUUUUGAGGCCACUCCUCCAUUCUAUUAGUCCAUUUCAGCAUGUUGCCAUUGUGCUAAUUGUAUUGUGUGAUGGUGUUUGUCCCCACUAAUCCACAGGCCACUGAAUGGCUGGCCAAGAGUAAAAAUGUCCGUGUCAGCAGGAUGGCAUCUCUGUGCAGGCAGAGAUCUGAAACACACUUUAUUGUUUCUGCCAACAGCAAAGCUACAGCUUCUGCUUAAAAAAAAAAAAAAAAUUCCCAGAAACAGAUCAAUGUGGAACAAUUUUCACUUUUUUUCAAUUUAUAAUCAAGUUGAAUUGCAAAGGGAUGACAACCAGGAAAGAAGCCAAUCAGUGUGAUGCCGGGAUGGAAGAGGUGGCUUCAGGUCUGUUAGAGCUUUGCUCUUCUAUUUCUCCUCUUAAGCAAAAUAGUAUGAUUGGACAGGACGGUCAGGUAGAACAAUCAAAGACACCGCGAGAACAAGAGGAAGAACUUCUCCUUAGAGCCUGGAAAACCAUGUCCUUUGAUCCACAGCAGCAGCAGACAUUGUGUGAGGACCCCAAACCCCCAGGCCCGUCCCAGUCCUUCCUUUCCAAACAGAGGCAAUCAUCCCGCAGCAGGAGGUUGUUGCAACCCAGGUAGAAGCCUUCUCCUCCCUCCUGGCUUGCUAACAUGGACAUGCAUGUCCUCGUGGACACUGAAGAAAUCAAGGGCUUGUCUAUUUAUUUAUUUUUUUACUGUACAUUUACUUAGUGUGUUAUCGCCCUCUGCUGGUAAAGAAUCAAAUUCAUAUUCCUGUAUGUUGUGCUGUGAUCAAAUAUUCUAGAAAUAAGACUGUUCUAAAAUGUAUCAUAGUAAAC
Syngnathus acus (greater pipefish) is the source of this 854-nucleotide long non-coding RNA. RefSeq lists it as uncharacterized. The record is from RefSeq and is a predicted model, not a curated record. Lineage: Eukaryota; Metazoa; Chordata; Actinopteri; Syngnathiformes; Syngnathidae. The transcript is spliced from 2 exons.